This 19-nucleotide microRNA is filed under the name Rattus norvegicus (Norway rat). RNAcentral's name for it is "rno-miR-181a-2-3p". Its record names the gene rno-miR-181a-2-3p. The record is from miRBase by way of RNAcentral. Lineage: Eukaryota; Metazoa; Chordata; Mammalia; Rodentia; Muridae.
ACCACCAACCGUUGACUGU